RNAcentral lists this ribosomal RNA (375 nucleotides) under uncultured organism. RNAcentral describes it as "partial 16S ribosomal RNA". It matches the Rfam family "Bacterial small subunit ribosomal RNA", at positions 527 to 896 of the family's 1533-position model. The record is from RNAcentral.
GAACCGUGCGAACGUUAUUCGGAAUUACUGGGCUUAAAGGGUGCGUAGGCGGCAUGGGUAAGUUGGGGUGUGAAAUCCCUCGGGCUCAACCGAGGAAUUGCGCCCAAAACUGCCUUGCUUGAGGGAGACAGAGGUGAGCGGAACUACGGGUGGAGCGGUGAAAUGCGUUGAUAUCCGUAGGAACACCGGUGGCGAAAGCGGCUCACUGGGUCUCUUCUGACGCUGAGGCACGAAAGCUAGGGUAGCGAACGGGAUUAGAUACCCCGGUAGUCCUAGCUGUAAACGAUGAGCACUGGGUCGGAGAUCCUUCCACAGGUUUCCGGCCGAAGCGAAAGUGUUAAGUGCUCCGCCUGGGGAGUAUGGUCGCAAAGGCUG